GACGAACGCUGGCGGCGUGCUUAACACAUGCAAGUCGAACGGAAAGGCCCUGCUUUUGUGGGGUGCUCGAGUGGCGAACGGGUGAGUAACACGUGAGUAACCUGCCCUUGACUUUGGGAUAACUUCAGGAAACUGGGGCUAAUACCGGAUAGGAGCUCCUGCUGCAUGGUGGGGGUUGGAAAGUUUCGGCGGUUGGGGAUGGACUCGCGGCUUAUCAGCUUGUUGGUGGGGUAGUGGCUUACCAAGGCUUCGACGGGUAGCCGGCCUGAGAGGGUGACCGGCGACAUUGGGACUGAGAGACGGACCAGACUCCUACGGGAGGCAGCAGUGGAGAGUAUUGCACAAUGGGCGGAAGCCUGAUGCAGCAACGCCGCGUGCGGGAUGACGGCCUUCGGGUUGUAAACCGCUUUCGCCUGUGACGAAGCGUGAGUGACGGUAAUGGGUAAAGAAGCACCGGCUAACUACGUG
Molecule: ribosomal RNA, 468 nt
Filed under: uncultured bacterium
Lineage: Bacteria
Description: partial 16S ribosomal RNA
Rfam family: Bacterial small subunit ribosomal RNA
Source: RNAcentral